RNAcentral lists this long non-coding RNA (3703 nucleotides) under Ananas comosus (pineapple). Its description in RNAcentral is "long non-coding RNA (ACOM_LNC008255)". The record is from RNAcentral. Lineage: Eukaryota; Viridiplantae; Streptophyta; Magnoliopsida; Poales; Bromeliaceae.
GAUAAUUAGUAAUGGUACGUCAAAUGCAAAAACAACACACAAAUUUAAGUAAAAAUUCUUUGCAGAAAAAAAGACUAUCGGUGAGAAAAGAGAGCUUCACUAUCGAACAAAAAAGAUAAUACAAAGUUCAAAAUACAAUCAAUCCGAACGAAAAAGAGAAUACAAAGUUCAAAGUACAAUCAAUCCGAACGAAAGAGAGAAUACAAAGUUCAAAGUACAAUCAAUCUGUCGCCUCUAGAGCAAAAUGAAAAAAAAAAAAAAAAUCUUUAACGUAUUUCGAAUCCGAUCCGAUCCAUACGACGGAGCCCCCCACACCCCUCGGCGAAUAUCAAUGAUGGGCUACGAGCUCGGAUCUAUCGGUCUGAAUCCUCCGCUACCAACCACAGACAUUCAUUUUUUCUUCACAAUUUAUUUUCCAAAUUAGUCACACCGCAAAAUUACUAUCGACGAGUUGAAGUCCAAAAAUUGAAGUCGAUUAUCAAUUUCGAGGGGUUAAUAUUCUAACACAUAUCAUGUCAAAAAUGUACAAACUUAAAUAAAUCACUAGCAUGUAAUAGUAAUUAUGUCAAAAUAGUGGGCCAGAAAUUUCAAUGAGUUUUCAUUGUUAAAACAAUGAUACUACACGAAUUAAAUAAACUUGCUUUCAAAUAUAAAAUAUGAUAAUUAAUAUUAUAGUUCGAGCUCGCUUAAUAUUAUUUACUUAAAUCAAAGCUAUGCUUCUGAGCGCACAUAAAAAUCUCAAAUCGUGGUAGGUUUAUAUUAUUUUAUUUUUUUUAGAAAGAGAAAGAUAGUAAGUUACGUUGUAUCACACCCAUAUAUUUAUUUAAAUAAAUAAGUAAAAAAAUACACCUGUAUUUAAGUAUUUUGUACAGUAUCUGCAGAGAACUCAAUUCCCGUGGAGACGUGCCAAAAGUACGGCAAAUGCACGCGUGUAUGUUUUUUUUAUUCCUAAAUUAAAAAUAUAAAAUUGCUAAAAUGGCAUUAACUUGAGCCCAUGUUGAUAUAAAGAUAUUUAGGUAAGUGGUGACCCGUCCCAUUCGGAUUGAGUUCCAUAUAUUUUAUACAACUGCUCCAUUGUACAUUUGCAUAAUUAAAUCAUCUCUAAUUCAUGUGUGACACCUUUUAUUAAUUUACUAAUGCACACUUUCUCUUCAUACAUGAUAUUUAUCUUUUUUUUUUUAAUGCAUUUCGUUUGUUAAUUAUUUUGUGGGGAUAUUUUUGACAGCUUGCUUGUUGGAAGCUUUCAAGAGGGUUUGGCUAAGACGCAACUGUAGAUGAUGAAAUAGUUUUCAAAAUGAAAGACGUGGUGACAUAUCUACGUGUACUAAAUUCAAAUUGAAUCUUAUCUCAAACAAUAUAAGAAAAAUAAAUAAAUAAAUAAAUAAAUGUUUGAUGUGUUCUCCCAAACAUAAGUGUGGCGUGAUGAUUUAUUAAUUAAGAAAGAGAUGGAGAUAAGUGGAAUGGUUUCCAAGGCACUGUUAUUAUUGGUUUGAACUGUUCAAAACUAAUGUGUUUGAUCCUAUUUUCGCCUGUAUUAUUUUAAACUUUACGCUGUGGUAAGAGAAAAGAUAAUAAUAAUAAUUUUGAUAUCUAAGUAAAGAAGUUUGAAUUGAACAUUUCUAAUUCUGGUGCAAUACGUCCGUCCAAAAUGUUAUUCAAAAUCAAAUACGAGAUAUAAGGUCCGAUUUUAGGGAUACGUACUACAGUGAAUCUAACUAAAAUUACGAUUUGAAGCCAAAUCGAGGCGAUCCAAAAUGUUAGGAUUAUGAUUUGAUUAAUUAAACCUAAUACGGAUUUAAGUUGGUGGGUUAAUGAGAACCUAUAUGUGGAAGUCCCUUCCCCACUAUAACCUACUAGUUAGUUGGAGUGUUAAGUAUUAGAUAAUCUUGUUAUUUGAUCCUUUGCAGAGGAGGAUGAGGAGAGAUUUUGAGGGGCCCACAAGAUGGGUGUGGAUAAAGACCAUCUUGGCCCCUGCUUUAGUUACAACCAAAUACAUCUAUGGGCGGGUCCCAUUCAUCUCACUUUCUCAGCACUCAAAAAGAUUUAUUUCAUGGACCACAUUCGAUAGACCAAACUCUCCAAUGACUACGAGCUAAAAUCUAAAUAUAAACCAUUAAGUUAUAAUCUAAUAUAAAUGUUUGAUUAAAAUCUUCUCAAAUAGUUUCUAAUGAUCAAGAGUUUGAGCUUGAUUCAGCGUGUUUGUAUUCAACUGCAUGCUUACAUUUGCUUAAGUAGAGUCCAAAGUUUCUAAGAACGAAUACUAAAAAAACUAAAUUGCCAGAUCACCAGUUAUCUGCCAGUCGAUUCGGUGUUCUGAUGCCGACCAUGAGGCUAGGAGUUCGAGUAUGUUCUUAUAUAAAUUUAAAUUAGAGCUUGUGUUUUUUGCUUUUUACUUGUAAAAUAAAAACAGAAAAAAAAAAUCCAAUUUCCUAAUAUAUCUAAUAGGGGGUAGGCUAUGAAGCGGACUGAGUGUAGACUCUAGUUUAUCAAUCAAAUUCUUGAUGGCUACCCACAUCUCCAAAUAAGGAGGGACAAUUUCCUUCUUUAAAAUAAUAAUAUUAAUAAUAAUAAUACCAACAAAAUCUCCAAAUUUGAUAGAUAACUACUCAUCAUAAAGAGAAUGAGAAUGAGAAUGGGGAGAGAAUGAGAGGGAUGGUUAGCCGCCUAGGGGGUUGUAUAGAAUGGUCAUACUUUAGCCUAAAAUCAUAUUGGUAAUAAUAUUACAUUGAUGUAAUAUAGACAAAAAGAAGAGAGUCCGGCUUAUCAAUAGUACAAGGCUCUUGAUACUAUCGAAUUUUCUAUCGUUGGAUCUAUUCUUUAAUCAUUUUCACCCGUUAGAUUAUACUAUUCAACCAACCACCUACUGAACCCUAGAGACUAAUAUCAUCCUAAUUACAUAUCUUUUCAUUCAACGACUGAAAACUCGAUAGCACCAAGCACUUGGCACUGUCGAUAGUAUAUCAGCAUAAUUCAAAAGAGAUUAAUAGUUAAUUAAGAUAUGCUUAUUUAUGGAAUAUUCGGUGAAUCGUUGUCUUCGAGUUUAUAUAUUGUGUGUGGUUAUCAAAAGCAUUGUUAGUUUACUUAUUAUUCUACACGCUAGCAACACUACAACAGAAUUAGGUUAUAGAGACAUAUGUUUGGGACACUUUUGAGUAAGUGUCCCAUUUAUCCUAAAACUUAAAAAAACAUCUACUAAUGCCUAAAUAUAAAGCCCAAUCCAACCAAAAAUAAAAGAUUACUCUACUCAACCCACCACACCCAGUCCAUUUGGCCCGAUUACAAACAGAAAAGAAAAAAAAAAAAAAAAAAUCAAUUACCAUCUUUUCUUCUCUCUUCACUCAAUCCACUGAAAUUCUAGACGAAGAGCCUUUCCUGUCGUCCUCCUCCGCCACCGCAGCCAACGAGAUAGAGUUUUGGCGGUUGCUAAAUGCUUAAAUAAGUGUUGGUAAAUUAGUAGCACUCUUUUAGGUUAUAGCGACACUCUUUAACUGUCACUAUAUACCUAGCGACCCCACAUAUAGCAAUACUUUUUAAAAGUGUCGGUAAUUUUAGCUAGCAGCACUUUUUUGACAUGUACCUAUAUUUAAAAGUGUCGCUAUAGACCGUUUUUGUUGUAGUGCAAUAUCUCAAAUUUUGUUUGAAAAUUUGGAAUGAUGAUUGAAUUCAGACGUAAAAUUUUAUAAAACUGAUCGAGUUAGUGAAU